This is a long non-coding RNA of Acinonyx jubatus (cheetah), 2307 nucleotides long. RefSeq lists it as uncharacterized. NCBI's taxonomy places the organism in Eukaryota, Metazoa, Chordata, Mammalia, Carnivora, Felidae. The transcript is spliced from 3 exons. The record is from RefSeq and is a predicted model, not a curated record.
UGGUGCACACAGGUGCAGUGUGUUAGGCACUAGUGAAGGCUACUGUGCAAGCGCAGAGAGAGGCACCUGCCUGAGUCAUUGGGGAUCAGAAACAUCAGUCCAGAGAAAAUAUGACUAGAGGAGCUUAAAAAACAGGGCUUCUCAAAUUUUAAGGUAAAUAUGAAUCACUCUGGGAUCUUGUUAAAAUGUAGGUUCUGAUUCAGUAGGUCUGGAGUGAGGCCCGUGGUUCUGCGUUUCUAACAAGUGCCCAGGAGAGGCGGAUGCUGCUGGUCCAUGGAUGACACUUCUUAAUUGCAAAGCCCUAAAGAGAAAGUAAAGAUUAAUUAGCCAGGUGCAGAGUUGUGGUGGUGAGAACUUCCCCAGAACAUGCAAAGACCCAGGGAGAAAAAGAACAAGAUCAACUUAGGGAACUGUUAUCAGUCCAGUAAACCUGGAUUGUAGAGCAUGAAAUGGUGAGCUAGCACGACAUGGGACUAGAGGCAACAGCAAACAAGCUAGCUGGAAGCACAUUAUGCAGGCUCUGUGAGACUUGGUGAGGAGCUAUGUCUAAUCCUGAGGGCAAGUGAGAUGCCAUUCAAAGUUUUCAGCUGAUGAGUUCCUUUUUCAGAUUUGGGCUUUCCAAAAAGCAUACUGGCUGUAGUCUGGAAAAUGCAUUAGAACAGUGUUCUCAAUCAAUCCUGUUGCUUGUUAGAAUCACCUGAGAGCUUUGAAAAAUACCAAUGCUCAGUCCCCACAUCAGGUAAUUAAAGAGGAUCUCUAAGGCAGAGCUUUUCAAAGUGUGGUCCUUGGUAUCACCUGGGACCUUGUUAGAAAUGCAAAUUCCCCAGCUCUGUCCCACAUUUACUGAAUCAGGAACUAUGAGGAUGGGCACAGCAGUUUGGGUUUUAACAAGCCCUCCUAGGUGACUCUGAUGGAUCACCUUUGAGUGGUAAUGUUUGAGAUCAGUUAGAUUAGAGGGAGAAAAGUAGGAAAAGGGAUAGAGGCUACCAUUAGGAAGCAGAGAGGUGAUGGUGUGGUUUUAGCUCCACAUCAGAUUUUAUUAACCUUGUUGAGCAAAGGAGUAUACCAUCUUAAUGGGAUCCAAGUAGUGUCUCAAAGCAGGCAGGUGAGCAUGCUGGUUAGCCAUAGGGUAGUUUCUGGAUGAAAAUUGGUAAGUGACAUUGGGUCAGGGAUAGGCUAAUUUAUAAACUAGGUAAGCUCUGCCUUGUGAGCUGAAUUGGGUCCCCCUAAAUUCAUACGUUGGAGCCCUAAGCCUCAUUGCGAUGGUAUUUGGAGGGAGGGCCUUUAGGAGGUAAUUAGGUUCAGAUGAGGUCAUGAAGGUGGGGCCUUGUGAUGAAAUUAGCGCCCUUAUAAGAAGAGUCACCAGAGGGCUUGCAAGAUUUCUUUUCUCACUACAUGUGAGAACUUAGGGAGAAGGCAGACUUCUAUAAGUCAGAAGAGAGCUCUCACCAGAAACCAAAAAUGCCAGCACCUUCAUCUCGGACUUUCCAACCUCUAGGAUGAAUACACAGAUCAUGGCAACUCCAGAAUUUCCACGUAAGAAGAGUUUUCAAAGGACAAUCUGAUGGGAGAUGCACUUGACAAGACAUCUGGACGAUCCUAUGAAGGAAAGGCAUGCUUCCCAGAGACUGGUGCUCACUUCAUAAUGGAGCAGCAGGGCUCUGGCUCUGAAUUCUGUGUACUGUUAUUGCCACUCUGACCCAUGCCAGAGUUUUGUAAAUCACAUCAAAAGCCAGAAUAAAUGACGAAAAAGCAACACUGAGAUGCGGCCAGGUGGCCAGAUCUAGAAAAAUUUUUCUUGAUGUUGAGACUACGUUGAAACAACUGACAGAGAAUUUUACGACGAUGAAUUCCUAACCAUCAGAAGCUCCUCAUAAGUAAUCGUUUGUUUAUAUUUUGUUUAUAUUUGGUUAUAUAUUUAUUUAUAUUUGUUUAUAUAAGGAACCCACUCUUCUCUAGUGCUUAAGGGAAAUAUUUUAAUAAACAGCUCUUGUAAGAAAAAUUUAGAGGCAUCUUAAGACAAAAUGUUAUUCAAGUAGAUAGAAAAGAAAGUAGAUAGAAAAACCUCAUAUUCGUGAACCAAUUCUGUCUUGAUGUUGCCUUUCACUUUGGCUAAAGGUUUGCAUGUGCAGCCUUUUCCACCCACCACGUGCCAAUCUCACAAUUUAAUGUACCUGAAGGACUUCAUUUGUACGUGUUGUUCACCAUCUUCCUUUCUACAAAAAAGCAGGAUAAAAUGUCAAACUACAUGAAACAGAUUUUAUUUAAUUCUUGAAAGAGAAAUAAAUGUGAGAUUAAGUACCAUCA